RNAcentral lists this transfer RNA (72 nucleotides) under Coemansia asiatica. It matches the Rfam family "tRNA". Rfam says of the family: Transfer RNA (tRNA) molecules are approximately 80 nucleotides in length. Their secondary structure includes four short double-helical elements and three loops (D, anti-codon, and T loops). Further hydrogen bonds mediate the characteristic L-shaped molecular structure. tRNAs have two regions of fundamental functional importance: the anti-codon, which is responsible for specific mRNA codon recognition, and the 3' end, to which the tRNAs corresponding amino acid is attached (by aminoacyl-tRNA synthetases). tRNAs cope with the degeneracy of the genetic code in two manners: having more than one tRNA (with a specific anti-codon) for a particular amino acid; and 'wobble' base-pairing, i.e. permitting non-standard base-pairing at the 3rd anti-codon position. Lineage: Eukaryota; Fungi; Kickxellomycota; Kickxellomycetes; Kickxellales; Kickxellaceae. The record is from Rfam by way of RNAcentral.
GCUGCGCUAGUAUAGUGGUUAGUACUCCACGUUGUGGCCGUGGCGACCCUGGUUCGAUUCCAGGGCGCAGCA